Molecule: ribosomal RNA, 1014 nt
Filed under: uncultured bacterium
Lineage: Bacteria
Description: bacterial SSU rRNA
Rfam family: Bacterial small subunit ribosomal RNA
Source: RNAcentral
GGGGAAUAUUGCACAAUGGGCGCAAGCCUGAUGCAGCGACGCCGCGUGAGGGAUGGAGGCCUUCGGGUUGUAAACCUCUUUUGUUAGGGAGCAAGGCACUUUGUGUUGAGUGUACCUUUCGAAUAAGCACCGGCUAACUACGUGCCAGCAGCCGCGGUAAUACGUAGGGUGCAAGCGUUAUCCGGAAUUAUUGGGCGUAAAGGGCUCGUAGGCGGUUCGUCGCGUCCGGUGUGAAAGUCCAUCGCUUAACGGUGGAUCCGCGCCGGGUACGGGCGGGCUUGAGUGCGGUAGGGGAGACUGGAAUUCCCGGUGUAACGGUGGAAUGUGUAGAUAUCGGGAAGAACACCAAUGGCGAAGGCAGGUCUCUGGGCCGUUACUGACGCUGAGGAGCGAAAGCGUGGGGAGCGAACAGGAUUAGAUACCCUGGUAGUCCACGCCGUAAACGGUGGAUGCUGGAUGUGGGGCCCGUUACACGGGUUCCGUGUCGGAGCUAACGCGUUAAGCAUCCCGCCUGGGGAGUACGGCCGCAAGGCUAAAACUCAAAGAAAUUGACGGGGGCCCGCACAAGCGGCGGAGCAUGCGGAUUAAUUCGAUGCAACGCGAAGAACCUUACCUGGGCUUGACAUGUUCCCGACGAUCCCAGAGAUGGGGUUUCCCUUCGGGGCGGGUUCACAGGUGGUGCAUGGUCGUCGUCAGCUCGUGUCGUGAGAUGUUGGGUUAAGUCCCGCAACGAGCGCAACCCUCGCCCCGUGUUGCCAGCGGAUUAUGCCGGGAACUCACGGGGGACCGCCGGGGUUAACUCGGAGGAAGGUGGGGAUGACGUCAGAUCAUCAUGCCCCUUACGUCCAGGGCUUCACGCAUGCUACAAUGGCCGGUACAACGGGAUGCGACAGCGCGAGCUGGAGCGGAUCCCUGAAAACCGGUCCCAGUUCGGAUCGCAGUCUGCAACUCGACUGCGUGAAGGCGGAGUCGCUAGUAAUCGCGAAUCAGCAACGUCGCGGUGAAUGCGUUCCC